Molecule: ribosomal RNA, 199 nt
Filed under: uncultured bacterium
Lineage: Bacteria
Description: partial 16S ribosomal RNA
Rfam family: Bacterial small subunit ribosomal RNA
Source: RNAcentral
ACGCUCGACACCUACGAGAGGCAGCAGUCGGGAAUAUUGCGCAAUGGAGGAAACUCUGACGCAGUGACGCCGCGUAUAGGAAGAAGGUUUUCGGAUUGUAAACUAUUGUCGUUAGGGAAGAAAAAAGACAGUACCUAAGGAGGAAGCUCCGGCUAACUACGUGCCAACAGCCGCGGUAAUCUGAGCGGGCUGGCAAGGC